Molecule: long non-coding RNA, 640 nt
Filed under: Homo sapiens (human)
Lineage: Eukaryota; Metazoa; Chordata; Mammalia; Primates; Hominidae
Description: long intergenic non-protein coding RNA 649
Source: RNAcentral
GGAGUUAUUGUUUGUGUGUAGGGAUGUGUGGAUAAAAGGGAGCUGAUUUCUAGAGCCACAGGUUGAAGAUGACAGUAGAUCCUAAGGAACCUCAGUUCUAUCCCGAAAUGCGAAGGCCUUUUUACUCAACCACAAAGAAGUGGUCAGCAGAAAACUGGUCAUCCCGGCCUCUGGGGCCAUGCACAGCACUCAGGAGGAGCUACUAUUUUCCCUGCCUGUUUACAUGCGGCCUGGGGCCUUGUGGGCUAUUUGAAAAUUAGGACACGAGAAGUCCAAGCAGCACCUGAUAGACUGGGAGCUCCAUGAGGUCCGAGACAACCUGAAGACGCCCAGCUCAGCAGAGACUGGCUACGGCAAUCACUCAGUAACUAUUUGUUGAAUUGGACAUAAUAGAAGAGCUGAAGAAUUUUAAACAAGUCACCAUCAGUGCAGUGGAUUCCUCAAAGCAAACCUGGAAAUCUCGGCAUGAGUUGGAUUUAAGGCAGUACAUUUUCAGCUCCUGAAAAUUUGAACAGUUUCUCAAGAGAACAACUUGAAACAGAAAGGCAAGGAUGUAGAUGUGGUUGUAGAAGAUGAUGUCUGCGGCCACCAAACUGUCCACUGUGAAGACAAACCAUGCAUGUUUAGUAGGCAGUGGCUC